CCUACGGGAGGCAGCAGUGGGGAAUAUUGGACAAUGGGCGCAAGCCUGAUCCAGCAAUGCCGCGUGAGUGAUGAAGGCCUUAGGGUCGUAAAGCUCUUUUACCAGGGAUGAUAAUGACAGUACCUGGAGAAUAAGCUCCGGCUAACUCCGUGCCAGCAGCCGCGGUAAUACGGAGGGAGCUAGCGUUGUUCGGAAUUACUGGGCGUAAAGCGUACGUAGGCGGUUAUUCAAGUCAGAGGUGAAAGCCCGGGGCUCAACCCCGGAACGGCCUUUGAAACUAGGUAGCUAGAAUCUUGGAGAGGUCAGUGGAAUUCCGAGUGUAGAGGUGAAAUUCGUAGAUAUUCGGAAGAACACCAGUGGCGAAGGCGACUGACUGGACAAGUAUUGACGCUGAGGUACGAAAGCGUGGGGAGCAAACAGGAUUAGAUACCCUGGUAGUCCACGCCGUAAACGAUGAUAACUAGCUGUUCGGGCACUUGGUGCUUGAGUGGCGCAGCUAACGCAUUAAGUUAUCCGCCUGGGGAGUACGGUCGCAAGNUUAAAACUUAAGGAAUUGAACCGG
This 562-nucleotide ribosomal RNA is filed under the name uncultured bacterium. RNAcentral's name for it is "bacterial SSU rRNA". It matches the Rfam family "Bacterial small subunit ribosomal RNA", at positions 338 to 917 of the family's 1533-position model. The record is from RNAcentral.